GUGAAUCAUCGAAUUUUUGAACGCAAAUUGCACUCUCUUCGGAGAGGAUGCCUGUUUGUGGGUCAGUAUUAAUAAAAAUCGGAGUGUUGCUUCUGUGUUACGCUCCGGAGUUUGGGUCAUCUUAAUAUCCUUUAGGUCUUAAGUGGCAUAAAAUUGACUUUUUUUGCGCAUUUUAGAUGUACAUAGAUUCUUUUUUGAUUCGUCUGUCUUAAUGCUC
RNAcentral lists this unclassified non-coding RNA (217 nucleotides) under Rhizophagus sp. (in: glomeromycetes). RNAcentral describes it as "partial contains 5.8S ribosomal RNA and internal transcribed spacer 2". The stretch from base 1 to 65 matches the Rfam family "5.8S ribosomal RNA", at positions 84 to 154 of the family's 154-position model. Lineage: Eukaryota; Fungi; Glomeromycota; Glomeromycetes; Glomerales; Glomeraceae. The record is from RNAcentral.